RNAcentral lists this ribosomal RNA (115 nucleotides) under Danio rerio (zebrafish). The record is from RNAcentral. Lineage: Eukaryota; Metazoa; Chordata; Actinopteri; Cypriniformes; Danionidae.
GCCGGCAGCUAGCUCUCUGCAACUCUCACAUGGUUGCCCACUGAAGCUAAGCAGGGCUGUGCCUGGUUAGUACCUGGAUGGGAGACCACAUGGGAAAGCUGGGUUGCUGCCGGAA